Molecule: long non-coding RNA, 1749 nt
Filed under: Olea europaea subsp. europaea
Lineage: Eukaryota; Viridiplantae; Streptophyta; Magnoliopsida; Lamiales; Oleaceae
Source: RNAcentral
UUUACUCUCCAUCAUCUCUAUUUUCAAUUCAUUGAUUUUUUCGCCUUGUAUUCAUGUAUAUCUCCAUUUCUCUCUCUCACUUUUCAGCAUAUAUUUAAUGGCUGUCCAAACUCGGUAUCCAUCAAAUUUUCUUAUUAAUGGUAAUGCAAAACAAGGUAAUAAUUAUUCAUAGCAACCAUCGCAAUCUAGAGGACAAAUUCUUGAUAAAACACGCAUGUUCUUUGAUGGGACUAAUAAUCUAAUAAAGAGAAUGAUGACAGGGGUAUGCAUCUCACGAUCCAAAGUGGGAAGCAACAGAAGGGAGUUUUGUCAACUACAAUGCUUAAUACUUUAAAUAACAUAUUUGUAGCAAUGGAUAGUUUAUGAAAUCCACUUCUCUACCCUUAAACACCAUAUCAUUAAAGAGUUUUCCAAACUAGAGGAGAUCCCUCUAGAAUUUUGAAAACAUAUAAGACUUGAAAUCAUUGAUCUAGCAAAUCUGUUGUAAACUCAGCGACGAAAAUUCAAGAGGAACAAGCAGGUCUUUAGGUUUUCAAGUUUGAGUCCAUCCAAGAAGAAUCUAAAGGGUAAAAAUCUUCGUUCUCUGGAGUAAAUGUUAAUUAGCGAAUCAACAAACUAUGUUAUUUACCGAAGUGAUCACAAAAGUUUAGUUUUUAUUUCAUUUAAGUCACUUAGAACCAAAUGUGGAAUUUAGAACUGCUUGAUGUAUUUCUUGAAUCCCGAAGUGGUCAUUGCCCGGACAAAUCAUUUUUCUGUGACUGUAGUCUAUACCUAACUUUGCGAAUUAGGGAAUAUAAAGCUGGAGAGGCUUUCUAGAAGGUAUAUAGAACAGAAAUCAAAAGAGUUCUGUAUAUAUAUGAGUGCAUUGUGUUUAUAGCCUCCAAUUUUGUCCUGUUGGCACAACAAGACAUGAUUUUAACAUCAAAAUGCAUCCAUAUCAUAUUCAUGUAUUCCACACGAGACAUUUUGCUAAAGCGACUAACAAAAUCUAAUGAAGUGACCAAAUUGAAACAAAAAACAAAAUUUAAGACCACUUUUGGAAAAAAAAAAGUCUGUAAAUACCAUAAAACUUUUGACAAUAAGUUUAGUUACCAACAAAAUUUUUUAUCCUGGAUCUAAAGUUGUAUCUCUCAGCAAAAGGUUUAGGUGUUUUUACUUUCAUUUACCCUAAUACUUCUACACUUACAAGUUUUGAGUCCUAAAUCUUUUUCCAUUUAUCAUCCAACACAUAAAUCUCUCACAAAAUCCAUGAACAGAAGCAAAAAAUGAAAUACCUUGGCAAAAGUGAUAACCCAUGGCCACAGGAUUCACAAUCUUGUCACUAUCAGCUUGAACAUAGAUAUUCAUAUUCAUUCCCUCCAGUGAUUUUGGAUGUUAUCCAAACUCUUGUCUUGCCACGGUAUCUCAUGGAAAAAUAUGACGACUGAUGGUUCAUUGCCCAAUCUUGAAGACAUCAAAUUGCAGAUCUAUACCUGCGAAGACCCAGAACGGGAAGCAACGAAAGGGGAAUUUCGUCUACUAAAACUGUAAGUACAGAUCUACCAAGAAGAAUCUAGAACGGCGAAUCCUUCAAGAUUGGGCAACAAACCAACAAUCGGCAAAUUUGCUCAAUUUCCUCGGAUAUUCGGCUUCCACAAGGGCCUUACUUUUACAGUCAAGUUGAAAAAGGGGUUAGGGGAAGGAGGACAGAGGGAAGUAGUAUGCUUCAGGGGCAGCGAGGUUGGAGGGGUCGGCAGAGGCAGCUGCGGC